AGUGGCGGACGGGUGAGUAACGCGUGGGUAACCUGCCUUGCACUGGGGGAUAACACUUAGAAAUAGGUGCUAAUACCGCAUAAGCGCACGGUCCUGCAUGGGACAGUGUGAAAAACUCCGGUGGUGCAAGAUGGACCCGCGUCUGAUUAGCUGGUUGGCGGGGUAAAGGCCCACCAAGGCGACGAUCAGUAGCCGGCCUGAGAGGGUGGACGGCCACAUUGGGACUGAGACACGGCCCAAACUCCUACGGGAGGCAGCAGUGGGGGAUAUUGGACAAUGGGGGGAACCCUGAUCCAGCGACGCCGCGUGAGUGAAGAAGUAUUUCGGUAUGUAAAGCUCUGUCAGCAGGGAAGAAAGCAAUGACGGUACCUGACCAAGAAGCCCCGGCUAACUACGUGCCAGCAGCCGCGGUAAUACGUAGGGGGCAAGCGUUAUCCGGAAUUACUGGGUGUAAAGGGAGCGUAGACGGCUGUGCAAGUCUGGAGUGAAAGGCGGGGGCCCAACCCCCGGACUGCUCUGGAAACUGUAUGGCUGGAGUGCGGGAGAGGUAAGCGGAAUUCCUAGUGUAGCGGUGAAAUGCGUAGAUAUUAGGAGGAACACCAGUGGCGAAGGCGGCUUACUGGACUGUAACUGACGUUGAGGCUCGAAAGCGUGGGGAGCAAACAGGAUUAGAUACCCUGGUAGUCCACGCCGUAAACGAUGAUUACUA
This 709-nucleotide ribosomal RNA is filed under the name uncultured bacterium. Its description in RNAcentral is "bacterial SSU rRNA". It matches the Rfam family "Bacterial small subunit ribosomal RNA", at positions 94 to 818 of the family's 1533-position model. The record is from RNAcentral.